This is an RNA transcript of Lutra lutra (Eurasian river otter), 2177 nucleotides long. It is a transcript of the gene named interleukin 17D, with no coding region annotated. NCBI's taxonomy places the organism in Eukaryota, Metazoa, Chordata, Mammalia, Carnivora, Mustelidae. The transcript is spliced from 2 exons. The record is from RefSeq and is a predicted model, not a curated record.
GAAGAGGAAGUCGUCCUAAAGAACAGAAUCUUCUAGGUUUUAGCUCUUUCUUUUUCCGGAUGGCCUGUUCUAUUCUCGGAGAGCUUUAAUUACUAGAAGAAUCUUUUUGCCCUGAGCCAGAAUCUGUCUCCCCUAACUUCACAAAGUUGGCCUCACUUUUGAGCUCUGGAGAUCUGCAGAUCUGCCCAGUUCCUUCCAGGCCUUCAGCCAGACAGGCCAGCGCCAGGGCAGGGCCGCAGCACCUUCGCUAGUCCUCCCCGUCUGCCGCGCAGCACGCAGUUCCGAGCUCGCACUUCCCGGGCCUCGGAAGCCUCCACUUUCAGCGGGUGCGAAUCAACGCGGCUGGCCAGCCCUCAGGUGGUGCGGGUCUCUCCUGACAACCGGGGGAAUGCCGGGGUUACUGGUGAGUGCAUUUCAUCAGGGGCAAAUGUGCUCCAGUCCCAGAAGCACAGGGUGCAGCCCCAGCUCGUUCCUGAGAACCCGGGCGACGACCUCGUGGCCCCGGCUCGUCGGUGCGCGCCCACGGACGCAGAGGAGGAAACGCCCGAGGAAAUUCACUCAAGCCAAGUCCGGUGCUCAGACCGUCGGCACCCAGGGCUGUCCGCGCCGAGACCCCGCGCCGGCCCCUCCUUAGCCGCGCAGCCCCCGCGGGAGGGAGGCGGGCGGAUGACGAGGGUGUGGGGGCGUGAGUCUGAGGGCGGCGGGCUCCGGCGUCUCAGGCGCGGGCUCCGGCUCGGCAGGUUCCGUCGCUGACCGGCCGGGCGCUGCAAGCGGAGCGUCGAGGUCGCCGCAGCGGGGGAAUGGCGCGUGCGGGGGUAAGUGGCGCAGACGGCCGUCACAGGCACUCGCAGCCCAGGGCGCAGCAGCCCGGCAGGCACACGCAUACGCGCACCCCGCAGCCGUCUCCCCCGCGGCCCCCGGCUCGGGGCGGCGGCGGCGGCGGCGGCCCGGGGCGGGCGGGCCGGCGCAGGGCAGGGUCCCGGGGCCCCCGAGGGCGGCGGGCGGGCGGGGGCGGCGCUCGGGGGCCCGUUUGGUCAGCACCCAUCCUCCGGGCCCGCCUCACGGUCCGCGACGCGACGGGGGGCGCCCACCGGCUCCCAGACCGCGGCGGGCCGGGCGCGGGCGGGCGCGGGCUCCUCCGCCGCGGGCGGACGCUGAGCGCGGCCUGUCUCGCAGGUCUGGAUGCUGGUGGUCGGCGUCCUGCUGGCGUUGGGGCCUGGCCGGGCCGCAGGUGCCCUGAGGGCGAACAGACGCCCGGCACGGCCGCGGGGCUGCGCCGACCGGCCCGAGGAGCUUCUGGAGCAGCUGUACGGGCGGCUGGCGGCGGGCGUGCUCGGCGCCUUCCACCACACGCUGCAGCUGGGGCCGCGGGAGCAAGCGCGUAAUGCGAGCUGCCCGGCAGGGGGCAGGCCGGGCGACCGGCGCUUCCGGCCGCCCACCAACCUGCGCAGCGUGUCGCCGUGGGCCUACAGGAGAUGGCCUCUCUUCUCUUCUGACCUCAAUGCUCCUGAGUCACUGGAAGACUGGAAAAAAGCAUUUCUCACAGAAGCUCAAAACCUCUUCUAAAGCAGUGUGUAGAAGGACAGGAUUGGUUUCUUAGUGGUGUCACUGUGGGACCUGUGUAGCCUGGGGGGAACAGUAUGCUCGCCUCUGCAACUCUAAGUAUGGAAUUAGAAGUAGUAUGUAAGUCUAAAACGAGCCAGAGAGAACACCAAAGGAAGAAGGAUGGGGAAACAGACUGCCAGUAAGAAAUACAGGAAGGCACAGAAAGGAUGACUUAGGUGGAUAAGAUAGGAUUUAAAAUAGAAAUUUGGAUUAUAAGGUGACUUUUCAUACUUUUAAGGGGGAGAUGGAUCAUUCAAACUGGUGUUGGGACAACUGAGUAACCAACUGGAAAAACAUGAUUGUAUCUCACUUCUAUAUACAAAUAAAUAACAAAUGACUGAAAGAUUUAAAUGUAAAAAUAAAACCACAACCCCAUAAAAAACACAGUCAAUUAUAUUUACAGUCUUGGAGUGGAGAGGCCGAUUUAGUAGCUUACAGACAGCCCCCCCCCCCCCGCAAAGCCAUAAAAGACAAGACUGAUAAAUUCACCUACACAGUUAUAUGCCAAUUCUUCUAGGCAAAAUAAACAAUAAAAUAAAAUUAGAAGGGCACCUGUUUGGCUCAGUGGGUUA